RNAcentral lists this ribosomal RNA (473 nucleotides) under Trimorphodon biscutatus. Its description in RNAcentral is "partial 12S ribosomal RNA". The record is from RNAcentral. Lineage: Eukaryota; Metazoa; Chordata; Lepidosauria; Squamata; Colubridae.
CCCUACUAUGCCUAACCAUAACACAACAAUUAAUCACCAAUUGUUCGCCAAAUAACUACGAGUAAAGACUUAAAAUUUAAAAGACUUGACGGUACCACAUAACCAACCUAGAGGAGCCUGUCAACUAACCGAUACCCCACGAUUAACCCAACCCCCCCUAGCCAAUAACAGUCUAUAUACCGCCGUCGCCAGCCCACCUUAUGAAAGAAACAAAGUGAGCCAAACAGUUAAACACUAACACGACAGGUCGAGGUGUAACUUAUGGGUGGGACAAAGAUGGGCUACAUUUUCUACAACAGAAAACACGAAUAAACUAUGAAACAAGAAACUGAAGGUGGAUUUAGCAGUAAACUAAGAAUAAAACCCUUAAUUGAAACCAACGCAAUGAGGUGCGCACACACCGCCCGUCAUCCCUGUACACCCACAAAAAAAUAUAUAAUUAAAACAUAUAAAUACAAACAGGGCAAGUCGUA